RNAcentral lists this ribosomal RNA (253 nucleotides) under uncultured bacterium. RNAcentral describes it as "partial 16S ribosomal RNA". It matches the Rfam family "Bacterial small subunit ribosomal RNA", at positions 524 to 776 of the family's 1533-position model. The record is from RNAcentral.
UACGUAGGGGGCAAGCGUUGUCCGGAAUCAUUGGGCGUAAAGAGCGUGUAGGCGGUUCGGUAAGUCGGUUGUGAAAGUCCAGGGCUCAACCCUGGGAUGCCGAUCGAGACUGUCGGACUAGAGUUCGGAAGAGGCGAGUGGAAUUCCCGGUGUAGCGGUGAAAUGCGCAGAUAUCGGGAGGAACACCAAUGGCGAAGGCAGCUCGCUGGGACGUUACUGACGCUGAGACGCGAAAGCGUGGGGAACAAACAGG